Microcebus murinus (gray mouse lemur) is the source of this 107-nucleotide small nuclear RNA. Lineage: Eukaryota; Metazoa; Chordata; Mammalia; Primates; Cheirogaleidae. The record is from Ensembl.
GUGUUUGCUUCAGCAGUACAAGUACUAAAAUUGGAAUGGUACAGAGAAGAUUAGUAUGGCCCCUGUGCAAGAACGACAUGCAAAUUCUUGAAGCAUUUCAUAUUUUU